AACUGUCUAACACUUUCAGUUCUAUUUUGAUAUCAUCCCUGUUUCUUGGUUCUUUAAUCUGAAAGUGCAUUUUUGCUCUGUAAAUUUCUCAGGUAGGCCACACCGUUUGCAAAUAGCUAGAUGUGCACUCAAUAGUCGCAUGUUCUGUGCUUUACUCCGGAUUUAUUUCAGCUUCUCUUCAUUCUUACUUCAUCCCUCUUACUUUUAGCUUUUUGUUUGAUUUCCAGAUUUUUCAUUUGCUCUUUCUUUUCACCUCUUCGGCUCUUCUGUGCCUGUGAUUUGCGGUGAGUUUUUUCAUGUUUCUUUAUUUGUUUUCUUUUGGCACUAAUUCCUUUACGAUGGAAUUUUGAUAAAUAUCUUUUAGUUAAUUUUCCUCAUAUGGUGAAAAUUUUUGGUUUAUGUUUUAUGUGCAUGUCACUAUUUUUACCUCUUUUCACAUAGAUGUUUAGGAAUAAAAUAUUUGGGGUGCAUGAUCUGUGUUUCUGCAUAUGUGAAAAUCGAUGCCUAGGUGCAUGCUCAAGUAUAAUUAAUGAAUACGGAAUCUGAUCUUUCGGUAAGCAAACUUAAUUCCUUUGGCACACUGAUGCACCCAUGUGUUUGACGGUAUGCCUGAAACAAUAAAUAAUUAUUUUUUCUUUCUUCUUCAUCUGAUUACAGCAAAAAAAAUAGUAAUGUUAAGUAAGAGAAACAUCUAUUUACAGUAUAAUACUAAAAUAUAUUCUCUCGAUUCUUCAGAUAAAAGCAUUUUGAUGAUCCAAUUUUAUAAAUAUAUCCAUAAUCUGGUAGUGCUUCAAAUAUUACUUUACUUUAGGUGCAUUAUGAACUAAAUGCAUGAUUUAACAUGUAUUGUCCGCUUGGUGAUAUAUUUUAAUUCACAAUACAACAACAACCCAAUAUAAUCUCACUAGUGGGGUUCUAGGGAGGUUAGUGUGUACGAGAUAUAUUUUAAUUCACGAUGGUAAUGAAAAAGUCCCAAUUUGUAGGGCACCGCCUCUUGGAGAUGAGACAUUUCAUGGAGCAGUGGUGAUUGGUGUGAGUUGGAAUUAAUUAAUUAGCAUGAACUUAAUUAAGAGUCGCAGAUAUAUACGUUUUCUUUUAAUUUUUAUGCAGCUACCAGUGUGUUACUCAUUGUAUGCUAUAUUUUUGUCAUUGACCAUCUUUUAUUUGGGAUUUACUGUUCCCAAUUAAUAUGUGCCCCAUUUUCAGACUUACCCCAGAUGUCCCUCUAGAUGAAACUGAAAUUCUGAGAAAGGAUGGUACUAAGCAUAAGAUUGAUUGGUUAGUUUUUUUUUUGACUAGAUAUCUAUGUUAAUUCCUAAUUCACCUGAAAUAUCAAAAAGUUAUGGUACAUGAUAGUAUCUUCUCAUUUGUUCAAGUAACAGCAAAUCUUCAGCUUUCUCUUUAGACAAAUAAAAUAUGUAUGUGGUGAUGAAUGCAACAAUUGGACAAGCAGAAAAGAAGAGGAAAACAAAACAAAUGCAUUCCUAAGGCAAGCACAAGUACACGUUUACUAAUUUGUGCAAAUCAAAGCAAUCUUCUUGAUUUAUAUUAAUGUUCAUUAAUUGUAUUUAGUUAUUUUAUCUUUUAAAUUUGAUAAAUACUAUUUGAACGGAUGUCCUCAGCAGUUGAACCCAAUCAAGUACAAGUUCAAAUAUUAGCAUAUUGAAUGCUAACUUUUUGCCAUCUCAAUUCAACUCUGAUUUUAUUGCAGACCUGGAAGUAAAGCAAUUUGUGCAUAUAUAAUUACCAUUUUUCUUCUUUUAGAUGAUUUAUAUUUAGUUAUUCACUCCCCUGUUAUUUAUUUCCUAGAAAUUACACACUCAUGAUUCAAGGAUAAUAAAUGAUGAUUUCUUGUGGAAAGCUUUUGCUGAUUUUUUUUUUUUUUUUUCACGCACCUUAUAAGUAGUAGUGACAAUGAUGUCUGUGCAAGGUGAUGCACCUAAUUGCCACAUAAUUUUAUUUCACUCAAUAUUUUAUAUUUAAUCAAAGUUGCAGAGUACUGUAUCUUUUUCUUUGCUGGUAUUAUAUUGAAUUACUCUUUUGACUUUGUAACUGGUUGAGAUAAACUGUUGUUUGGGGAUUAACAUGGUAGUGCAUACGACCAAACCAUUUUAUGGGGGAAUUCACAUUAAGAUGCAAAAAAUUAAAGGUCUUGAUAAAUUUUAAGGGAGCUGUGGUUGAUGAUCAGGUAGUUAUUAUCUAGAGGUAUCUAUGACAUGAAGCAUUAGGCUAUUCAAGAAAAGGUUUAUUACUGUCUCGACCCAUGGUUGAUAUUUGAUACACACAUGUGAUGGUUAUUCUGACUCUGAAUGAGAUACUGGCUCCGGCUAUGGCUGUUUAACUCAUGCAUAAUAACAUCACAAAGCUCAUGGUCUCAAGGUUAUUGUUUUCAAUCAUAUGUUUGAAAACUUUUGCUUGACAUGAAUCGAAUUAUUUUAAUAAAUAUUUUUUUCCCCUUAUUUUUAUUUUGUCUUUUAGAGUGCUACUAUAUUGGCACUUCUUUUAGAGAGUUUCCAUAGUCUUAUAUUUAAUCGAAGGCUUGGGAUAUUUAUAGUUUUUAUCGUAUUUUGGAUCAAUGAUAAAGAAAAGAUUUAUUUUAUGCAGGCAUGAAUUAAUAAGAUCUUGGUGGCGCUCCUCUUAGUUUUCGUUAUACAACUUUCAGAGAAAACCAAUUUACAUGCUUUUCGAUGUUAAUCAAACACAUCAUAUUUUUUUAUUAUCUCCUUGCUCUUUAUCCUCUUCUUGGUUGCAAUGUGGAAUUACAUGAAGCAGUGAAGAGCAACACGAUCAAAAGAAACUCCGAAGAGAAGCCUGCUACUAAACCACGAACGAAAAAAUCUAUUCAAUCAGCAUACAGGUUAUAUCAAUAGAGGAAAAGAAGAGAUUCCUGAGUUUUUGUCAAUAGAGAAAAAGAAGAGGUUUCUGACCUUUUUGACGAUCAAGGUGUUCUAAACUGGUGUCAAUUGGUGCUGACAUCUUUACUCUAGCUAAUAAAGGAAGAGUAUUUUACUAAUUGUUAUUACUAAUCGUUAGUUUUAGUAUUUUUAAUUCUUCUUUAUAAUUUUGUAUGAACGAGCGCACAAAGGAAUUGAGAUUUAAGUGCAACAAAGGAAAAUUUGGCCUUGCUAAUAU
Molecule: long non-coding RNA, 3132 nt
Filed under: Nicotiana tabacum (common tobacco)
Lineage: Eukaryota; Viridiplantae; Streptophyta; Magnoliopsida; Solanales; Solanaceae
Description: long non-coding RNA (NTAB_LNC007250)
Source: RNAcentral